UACGAAGGGUGCAAGCGUUGCUCGGAAUUAUUGGGCGUAAAGGGUAGGUAGGUGGUUACGUAUGUCUGAGGUGAAAGCCCCGAGCUUAACUUGGGAAGUGCCUUGGAAACGGCGUAACUAGAGUAUUGGAGAGGUUUGUAGAAUUCCUGGUGUAGCGGUGAAAUGCGUAGAGAUCAGGAGGAAUAUCAGAGGCGAAGGCGACAAACUGGACAAUUACUGACACUAAACUACGAAAGCGUGGGGAGCAAACAGG
RNAcentral lists this ribosomal RNA (253 nucleotides) under uncultured bacterium. RNAcentral's name for it is "partial 16S ribosomal RNA". It matches the Rfam family "Bacterial small subunit ribosomal RNA", at positions 524 to 776 of the family's 1533-position model. The record is from RNAcentral.